Molecule: ribosomal RNA, 253 nt
Filed under: uncultured bacterium
Lineage: Bacteria
Description: partial 16S ribosomal RNA
Rfam family: Bacterial small subunit ribosomal RNA
Source: RNAcentral
UACGGGGGGGGCAAGCGUUGUUCGGAAUUACUGGGCGUAAAGGGUUCGUAGGUGGCCAACUAAGUCAGACGUGAAAUCCCUCAGCUUAACUGGGGAACUGCGUCUGAUACUGGUUGGCUUGAGUGCAGGAGAGGAACGCGGAAUUCCAGGUGUAGCGGUGAAAUGCGUAGAUAUCUGGAGGAACACCGGUGGCGAAGGCGGCAUCCUGGACCAACACUGACACUGAGGAGCGAAAGCCAGGGGAGCAAACGGG